RNAcentral lists this ribosomal RNA (601 nucleotides) under Pseudomonas sp. RNAcentral's name for it is "bacterial SSU rRNA". It matches the Rfam family "Bacterial small subunit ribosomal RNA", at positions 61 to 657 of the family's 1533-position model. Lineage: Bacteria; Pseudomonadati; Pseudomonadota; Gammaproteobacteria; Pseudomonadales; Pseudomonadaceae. The record is from RNAcentral.
GUCGAGCGGUAGAGAGAAGCUUGCUUCUCUUGAGAGCGGCGGACGGGUGAGUAAUGCCUAGGAAUCUGCCUGGUAGUGGGGGAUAACGCUCGGAAACGGACGCUAAUACCGCAUACGUCCUACGGGAGAAAGCAGGGGACCUUCGGGCCUUGCGCUAUCAGAUGAGCCUAGGUCGGAUUAGCUAGUUGGUGAGGUAAUGGCUCACCAAGGCGACGAUCCGUAACUGGUCUGAGAGGAUGAUCAGUCACACUGGAACUGAGACACGGUCCAGACUCCUACGGGAGGCAGCAGUGGGGAAUAUUGGACAAUGGGCGAAAGCCUGAUCCAGCCAUGCCGCGUGUGUGAAGAAGGUCUUCGGAUUGUAAAGCACUUUAAGUUGGGAGGAAGGGCAUUAACCUAAUACGUUGGUGUCUUGACGUUACCGACAGAAUAAGCACCGGCUAACUCUGUGCCAGCAGCCGCGGUAAUACAGAGGGUGCAAGCGUUAAUCGGAAUUACUGGGCGUAAAGCGCGCGUAGGUGGUUUGUUAAGUUGGAUGUGAAAUCCCCGGGCUCAACCUGGGAACUGCAUUCAAAACUGACAAGCUAGAGUAUGGUAGAGG